UUUAAUUGAAGAGUUUGAUCAUGGCUCAGAUUGAACGCUGGCGGCAGGCCUAACACAUGCAAGUCGAGCGGCAGCACAGAGGAACUUGUUCCUUGGGUGGCGAGCGGCGGACGGGUGAGUAAUGCCUGGGAAAUUGCCCGGUAGAGGGGGAUAACCAUUGGAAACGAUGGCUAAUACCGCAUAACCUCGCAAGAGCAAAGCAGGGGACCUUCGGGCCUUGCGCUACCGGAUAUGCCCAGGUGGGAUUAGCUAGUUGGUGAGGUAAGGGCUCACCAAGGCGACGAUCCCUAGCUGGUCUGAGAGGAUGAUC
Molecule: ribosomal RNA, 310 nt
Filed under: Vibrio cholerae
Lineage: Bacteria; Pseudomonadati; Pseudomonadota; Gammaproteobacteria; Vibrionales; Vibrionaceae
Description: bacterial SSU rRNA
Rfam family: Bacterial small subunit ribosomal RNA
Source: RNAcentral